RNAcentral lists this ribosomal RNA (497 nucleotides) under uncultured bacterium. RNAcentral describes it as "partial 16S ribosomal RNA". It matches the Rfam family "Bacterial small subunit ribosomal RNA", at positions 28 to 507 of the family's 1533-position model. The record is from RNAcentral.
GAUGAACGCUGGCGGCGUGCCUAAUACAUGCAAGUCGAGCGAACAGACGAGGAGCUUGCUCCUUUGACGUUAGCGGCGGACGGGUGAGUAACACGUGGAUAACCUACCUAUAAGACUGGGAUAACUUCGGGAAACCGGAGCUAAUACCGGAUAACAUGUUGAACCGCAUGGUUCAACAGUGAAAGACGGUCUUGCUGUCACUUAUAGCUGGAUCCGCGCCGCAUUAGCUAGUUGGUAAGGUAACGGCUUACCAAGGCAACGAUGCGUAGCCGACCUGAGAGGGUGAUCGGCCACACUGGAACUGAGACACGGUCCAGACUCCUACGGGAGGCAGCAGUAGGGAAUCUUCCGCAAUGGGCGAAAGCCUGACGGAGCAACGCCGCGUGAGUGAAGAAGGUCUUCGGAUCGUAAAACUCUGUUAUUAGGGAAGAACAAAUGUGUAAGUAACUAUGCACGUCUUGACGGUACCUAAUCAGAAAGCCACGGCUAACUACGUG